GCUACAGCGAGCCGGUGAUAAUAGGCGGCGACUAAAGCCGCCACAAAUCAUUCUUCAAAAAAGUGUUUAGUUGACAGAGUUCGUCUAUGGCUUUUGGCCGCCAUAUUGCAUCUAUUUGUUUGAUUGAGGUUGGAUUAUGAAAGACGGCUGGCUAAUAGCUUUCUAUUAAAAGCCAGCAUUUCACUUUUAACUGUGUUCAAAGUUAUUUCAUACUGGUAGAAGAGAGGGCGGUGCGUUGUCCCAGGUUUCGGCCGGAAUAGCGUAUCGUCCGUACUUUUAACACCAUAUUUUGCAACGCGUCUUACCUUGCUGGCAUUAGAUAUUAACAAACAACGAUGACUCCGCUUCGCAAGUUGUGGUCACUUGUGGUUCUAUAUGACGCAGUGCUUAUUUGGAACGUUCUAGAUUGCUCGGAAUGUAUGACAACAUCGGUCGUGAGGUGGUAAUCAGAGGGAUUUGGCUCGCGCCAAGAAUCAAAAGAAGCAACAAGAGCAGCAGAAGAAGAAGAAUGCUAAUGACAAAACUGGACUUUCCCUAUCUGAGAGAAAACAUAGGGAUGCAGAACUAAUGAGAGAGAAAC
Long non-coding RNA from Hyposmocoma kahamanoa, 580 nucleotides. RefSeq lists it as uncharacterized. Lineage: Eukaryota; Metazoa; Arthropoda; Insecta; Lepidoptera; Cosmopterigidae. The transcript is spliced from 4 exons. The record is from RefSeq and is a predicted model, not a curated record.